Molecule: transfer RNA, 67 nt
Filed under: Gibbosaverruca weijiai
Lineage: Eukaryota; Metazoa; Arthropoda; Thecostraca; Verrucomorpha; Verrucidae
Description: tRNA-Ile
Source: RNAcentral
AAUUAAAUGCCUGAAAAAGGAUUACUUUGAUAGAGUAAAUUAUGUAGAAUAAAUACUACUUUAAUUA